UUCUGCUUUAUAUGGUGAAGCUACUCUCUCGUAUUGCUAAUUGUGUCCAGGAAAAAAUUUAUAAAAUUUGGACCAUGUCACUUUCCAUUGCGCCAGUGCUGAAGUUUUUGAAUGGUAAUCCUCAUGUUACAAUUCAUUGAGCAGACGUAGCUGACAUCGCAUACUGGUGACUUGACAUACCAUAUUCUCUAGAUUUGGGUCUGAACUGAUGUAAUUGGUCACCUGAAAAUAAAAUUAAAGGUGUACAAGUCUUGGUAGUAUUGAACAGUUGGCUCCGUUCUUGGUGCAUAAUCAUUGCUUCUCUGUUUAAAAUUUUUCAAAUACAUAAAUUGGAUAGUUGUCCACUGAGGGAGAAAGGUUAAUAAGUUUACUCAUCAGGCUCUCUUUUAUUUUCAUUUACAACCAUCAAAUUUCCAAGUUAUUAAUGCAUCUACAGUCUUCUAUGAUCCCCUGGAAAUUUCCAUCAGAAAUUAUCAUGUGCAUAAUCGUACUAAUGAUGACCAUCCUUCCCCCAUGGCCCCAUCGGUUCACUUGAUGAACCCCCCUGCUCCUUCAUUCCUUUGAUCUUCUGUGCGAUCUUCCUCUUCCCCCAAGAUUCCUUCUUGAAAUUGUUUUGAUCGUUUUAUAGACAUUGUUUCUACUGCUUUCUUUUGGUGCAAAACCAAGUAAUAUUUUGUUCACAAUAACUUAUCUUAUUUGAUUUCAUUUGGAGAGCUUCAUUAAUUCAUCCAUAGGUGCAUGGGAGUUUUUUACUCCCUUAAUUUAUCAAUCUGAGUUUAUUUUAUUUUUUUAUAAAAAAUCUUAAAACUCAAUUGAAGGGACAGUUGCGGUGAAGAAAUAUUUGGGAGGGAAAGUGGAACCAAGAAUCUAAAGGAGGGAGAUGUAGAUUCCAAAUAUUUUCAGUUUGUUACCUCAUAGAGACCAAAAACAUUUUCUUUGAGAGAGUUGAGGAGGUAUUAUGUUGAGUAAGUGUGAGAGAUGCCGAGGAAGACUUGAUCAAUUGAUUUACUAAACUAUCGUCUUAAACCCUAGGCAAAAGAUAUAUCCAUCCCCUAGAUUGGAACCCAGUAAAUAUCAUUUAGAGGCUAUGAAGCAUAGAUACUUCGUGUGAGGUAGGGAAUCAAUCAGUAUUGGUUCCAGAUACAUAUGUAUUUGAUGGCGUGUCUGUUUUUACUUUUUUUUCUUAAUAACGUCUCACCUUCCCAAUUCUUGAAGGGUACAUGCUAGACAUUCCCCCACCCCACCUUCCUCACCACCAAAGAAAAAAAAAAAAAGAAAAUCUUUGACAAGUCAACAAAUUUUUUUUGUUUAUCUUCGUACCUCUUCCUCUAGUCAUCUUCUCUAAUCGAUCUAACUCUGGUGCCAACUGCCACCAACCUUGUCUAUUGUUGUAUUUUAUUGACUUGUAAUUCAAUUGUCUCUAAUGUUGCCUUUUGUAUUGUAUAUUAAUGUUAGAAGUUGUACUAUUGUCAUUAACAUGAAAUUACAUGCUUUUUAGCAGAUUGCAUUUGUAUCCUUAUGUUAAAUUUAUUUAUAUCCUAGACUUGUUUGUUUGUUUUUCUAAAUAAAAAAACAUAUCCUCAAUGUAACUGACAUCCCAGUUCUUCAGAAACUCAUCUUCUUCGAAUCUUAUCGCAUCCAUAUUCGUGUCUGUGAUUCAUUGAUAAGAGGUUUUUUCUUGAGCUCCUUUUCAUUGUAGAUGAAAUUCUGGCGGCUAAGGUCCCUAGGUGAUAUGGUUUUUCCAUGUUUUUCUUUGUUACUUGUUGGAAUACUCUCAAAUCAGAUUACAAUGAAGGUGUUCUAGGACCUUUUUUCUUUAUAGAAUGGCCUUAUUUAUUCUUAGUGUCAGCAAAGCAAAACCUAUAUUAUGCCUUGUUCCCAAAUGAGUUGGAAACCACUAGACUGACUAAUCUUACCUCAUGACAUCACGAGCAUCAGUUCACCUGAUGAUUGAUAGCUGAAAAUCCAAGAGUCCAGUGUUGCAGCCUUGUAUUAGUUAAAAGUUUAGUACUAAACCCUGACAUGUAGAAAUAUGGUUUGAAAGAAAUCAACACGUUUUCCACCAUACGGCUUCAGUAUGGUCCAACCGAUUCGUUUAAAUGCAUCAUCAUGGUACUCCAUGGUCAAAGGAUUUCAGGGUUAUUCCACACAGGACAUUCACCUCAACUGGCAAGCUUUUAUUGUUUAGCCAUUUUGAGUCCAACUAAGGAGAUUUAGGGAAAGGCCCUGAUUCUGCUCGGUUUUGAGUUGUCUUUUAGUCUUUUUUUAAUGAUAGGCUGCUGAUGUAAAGGUCUUAUGUUUUUUACCAUUUUUAAUUUCUCAAUGUCAUUUCAUUUCUCUAUUUUUCGGAUAUGAUGAGGACGCUAAAGGGGUGUCAACCUAGUUGAGAUGUCCAGAGUAAAAUCUUCGUCUUGGGUUGCCUUCAAAUGCCAACUAUUCCAUUCCAUAUCUAUGGCCAUCAAGGGGAAAAAUUCAGACCACAACCGGUGGUAUACAAAGUUGACCUCUCUUCCCCUUCAUUUUUAGUUUCAUGAUUUUUCUUUUUCUUUUUAUUAUAUUUUUAGCCAGCAACACUCUCCAUAAACCAACCUCAAUAUGCUGAUAGCACCACUAAUUUCUCCUACGGACUUAAUUGGGUUGAAACUUGGUAUGGAAACCUACUAAGUGAAUUUUCAAAAUCAGAGAAACCUUGAAAUUAAAAAAAGGCAAUCUCCUUCCGUCAAAACAUGACUAAUCUUCUCAAGGCUGUCAAAUACUUUGAAGUCUCCUUUGACUUUGACUUAGACUUGCCUUUCUAGAUUGGAGGUCUUGGGUCUCGUUCUGCCAAUGUCCUCAAAACAGUGCCAACAUCAUCCAAUGUUCUUCAGUGACUUAGCCCUCAAACUAUCUCGGUCUCAACUUAAAUGGACCUUAAAGCAUUUCUUUUGGAAACCAAUCAUUGAAGGUUGGUGGUAGGUACACCCUUAUUCUCCCUUCUAAAAUCUCCAAUUUUACUCCAUAUUCCUCUCCAAGGUUCCAGGAAAUUUCCAAAUCUUUAACUUAUACCAACGUACCGCUCAUCUUUUGAACAGGUAGCUUUCUGUGUUGAACAUAAACCUCAGAAGACAACUUUAAAGUCGAGGUGUUCCAAGAUUGGCUAUCAGUAUUUUUCAUGGAUGAUUGUUGUCUAGGUGACAGGGUCUGUUCUCUCUGUUCCAGAUUCUUCAUUCUUGGGACUGGCCUUUUGACCUUUCAGGUUUUCUUGGAUUGCAAACCUCCUAGAAUGCAUUUUCAUUCCAAAUUUAUAUAAAGUUAUUUGAAAGAACUAUAGAUGUACAAAGAUCCAACACAUGAUCCAAAGAAGUAUGCAUCUGAUCAUCUCCAUUACUAGAUGUGUUCACUCCAGAAUCCGAAGAUUAGUUAUAUGUUAUAUCCAUUGCUUGGUGUCUUCUCCUUGUGGCAUUUGCUCUUUACUCUUAAUCACUUUUGAUGGAUCCCUGGCCCUUGUCAGGAAUGUAAAAUUCAACCUUGUAGCCCUCAUGCUCUCUGACCCUCCAAGAUUCUAUCAACUUCUUUUGGAUUAUGUGGCCGGAGACAAACCAAUGAAUUUUUGUAGGCAAA
Molecule: long non-coding RNA, 3600 nt
Organism: Cucumis sativus (cucumber)
Lineage: Eukaryota; Viridiplantae; Streptophyta; Magnoliopsida; Cucurbitales; Cucurbitaceae
Exons: 2
Source: RefSeq, a predicted model, not a curated record